CCUACGGUGGGCAGCAGUAGGGAAUAUUGCUCAAUGGGGGAAACCCUGAAGCAGCAACGCCGCGUGCAGGAAGACGGCUCUAUGAGUUGUAAACUGCUUUUGUACGAGGGUAAACGCAGAUACGCGUAUCUGUCUGAAAGUAUCGUACGAAUAAGGAUCGGCUAACUCCGUGCCAGCAGCCGCGGUAAUACGGAGGAUUCAAGCGUUAUCCGGAUUUAUUGGGUUUAAAGGGUGCGUAGGCGGUCGGAUAAGUUAGAGGUGAAAUCCCGAGGCUCAACUUCGGAAUUGCCUCUGAUACUGUUCGGCUAGAGAGUAGUUGCGGUAGGCGGAAUGUAUGGUGUAGCGGUGAAAUGCUUAGAGAUCAUACAGAACACCGAUUGCGAAGGCAGCUUACCAAGCUACUUCUGACGUUGAGGCACGAAAGCGUGGGGAGCAAACAGGAUUAGAUACCCCUGUAGUC
This 460-nucleotide ribosomal RNA is filed under the name uncultured bacterium. RNAcentral describes it as "partial 16S ribosomal RNA". It matches the Rfam family "Bacterial small subunit ribosomal RNA", at positions 338 to 795 of the family's 1533-position model. The record is from RNAcentral.